RNAcentral lists this ribosomal RNA (254 nucleotides) under uncultured bacterium. RNAcentral's name for it is "partial 16S ribosomal RNA". It matches the Rfam family "Bacterial small subunit ribosomal RNA", at positions 524 to 776 of the family's 1533-position model. The record is from RNAcentral.
UACGAAGGGGGCUAGCGUUGCUCGGAAUUACUGGGCGUAAAGGGCGCGUAGGCGGAUAGUUUAGUCAGAGGUGAAAGCCCCAGGGCUCAACCCUGGAAUUGCCUUUGAUACUGGCUAUCUUGAGUUCGGGAGAGGUGAGUGGAACUCCGAGUGUAGAGGUGAAAUUCGUAGAUAUUGGGAAGAACACCGGUGGCGAAGGCGGCGACCUGGUCCGAGACUGACGCUGAGGCGCGAAAGCGUGGGGAGCAAACAGG